Molecule: long non-coding RNA, 1888 nt
Organism: Brassica napus (rape)
Lineage: Eukaryota; Viridiplantae; Streptophyta; Magnoliopsida; Brassicales; Brassicaceae
Exons: 6
Source: RefSeq, a predicted model, not a curated record
UGAUCCGAUUCAAGGCUGAAACGCGUGAAGUUUGUUCUUCCUCGACGAUUCCUCUUCGUCAUCACCGGUCAAAUUUUCCGCAUUUCACCGUUACCGUAAUCCACUCUUUCUCUUUAAUUCUGAUUUAAUGGUUUCUUCCACCUUCCCCUCUAUCUCCUUCUAUAUAAAGCCAACCCUAACUGAAACUAUGCAGAAGCAGCUACAUCUACAGGCAUGGAAUCCACCGGCAUGUAACUAUUUGUCUUCUUCUUCUUUGAGAAAGUGUUUCACUUUCAUGGCUAUUAUAAUGUAUUUAAUGGAGUUUAGGUUCUGCUAUGAUCAUUUGUUUGCGAUUUUGGUUAUAAAAUUUGUAUUUUGUAUGUUGAAGUUUUUGCUUUUGGAAUCUAUGUUUAGAGGCGUUUUUUCUGUGCCUGUGAAUAAUCCUUACUUGCGCAAAUCUGGAAGCGUAUACUCAUGAGACGAAGGCUUGCACUGCGACUUCGCGUGCCUGAUCUAUACCCUCCUGAGGACGAAGCUCACGGAGGAGCGCGUGAAGUCGAUCGUCUACGACGCGGUCGAGAUCGAGAGGCAGUUUGUGUGCAACGCGCUUCCGUGUGCGUCGGUGGGGAUGAACCGUGAGCUGAUGAGUCAGUAUAUCGAGUUCGUGGCAGAUAGGCUUUUGGGUGCGCUUGGGUAGGGAAUGUGUACGGUGUGGCGAAUCUGUUUGAUUGGAUGGAGUUGAUUUCACAUUAGGGGAAAACGAACUUCUUCGAGAAGAGAGUUGGUGACUACCAGAAAGCUUCUGUUAUGUUUAGCGUUAAUGGAGGCGGCGCGUUUGAUAAUCAUUGAAACUCAUGGCUACGUACUAUUGCCAAACUGCGAAGCCCUUUUAGUCCUUAGCAGCCUCAAGGUUGCUCUGUAUGUUGGUGGUCUUUAUAUUUGUGGAAAGAUUGGAUGGGAAUCUUUAAUGGAAAUGGGACAAGACACACGAGAACUGUCAAGAAUGAAGAGGACAGUCUAAAGAGGAAGGUAAAGGAGACUAUGGAGAAAGCUUUCUGGGAUAGUGUGAUGGAAUCAAUGAAACUGGAGGAGCCUGGGACGAGCUUUGCCAGAUGGUGCCUGAUAGCUGGAAAGUGGAAAUAACCGAAACUAUUGAUCUUGACCUUCUCUCACAGUUGCUUAACUCUGGCACCUUGGAUAUUGAUUACCUUGGAAAGAUGCUUGAGUUUGCAUUAGCUACUCUUCGGAAACUCUCGGCUCCAGCUAAUGACCGUGAGAAUGAAAGCACCCACCAGAGUUUACUGGAGGAACUUCACAGGUUGUGUCAAGCUUGAGUCUGGUAGCCUCCAUGCUGUUGCAAUUGUCAAGGGGAUCCGCUUCAUUCUUAAAUGUGUGAUGCAGAGGAAGGUAAAGGAGACUAUGGAGAAAGCUUUCUGGGAUAGUGUGAUGGAAUCAAUGAAACUGGAGGAGCCUGGGACGAGCUUUGCCAGAUGGUGCCUGAUAGCUGGAAAGUGGAAAUAACCGAAACUAUUGAUCUUGACCUUCUCUCACAGUUGCUUAACUCUGGCACCUUGGAUAUUGAUUACCUUGGAAAGAUGCUUGAGUUUGCAUUAGCUACUCUUCGGAAACUCUCGGCUCCAGCUAAUGACCGUGAUAAUGAAAGCACCCACCAGAGUUUACUGGAGGAACUUCACAGGUUGUGUCAAGCUUGAGUCUGGUAGCCUCCAUGCUGUUGCAAUUGUCAAGGGGAUCCGCUUCAUUCUUGAGCAGAUUCACGUCUGUAUCCGUAAUACUUAUGUGAAUUAUUUUAGAUAAAUAGUUUUUAAUACUAAACAAGUCAUGCUCUUAACUAAAAUAAAUUAACUUAUUAUAUAUAUUUAUUUGACGAACAUCAAAUUUAUUUGAUUUA